GCGACGUCUGGACCAACCAUCAGCCGGACCUUUCAACGUAUCUACUGCCUGAUCAUGCCACGUCAUCACCAUCUGUGUGAACAAUUAGAGCCAAUAAUAACUGGACGCAUGGCGGCAAUCGACUAGUCAGAAUCAGAUUGAUCAGAUCGUCCAUCCGCCUAACCAAUUGUAACAUUAAAUAACAAUCCCUUCAAAUCGACACCCCA
This 206-nucleotide long non-coding RNA is filed under the name Elaeis guineensis (African oil palm). RNAcentral describes it as "long non-coding RNA (EGUI_LNC023746)". The record is from RNAcentral. Lineage: Eukaryota; Viridiplantae; Streptophyta; Magnoliopsida; Arecales; Arecaceae.